This 494-nucleotide ribosomal RNA is filed under the name uncultured bacterium. RNAcentral's name for it is "partial 16S ribosomal RNA". It matches the Rfam family "Bacterial small subunit ribosomal RNA", at positions 28 to 507 of the family's 1533-position model. The record is from RNAcentral.
GACGAACGCUGGCGGCGCGCUUAACACAUGCAAGUCGAACGGAAAGGCCUGCUUUCCCUUGUGGAUUGCGGGUACUCGAGUGGCGAACGGGUGAGUAACACGUGAGUGAUCUGCCCCCAACUUGGGUAUAAGCCUGGGAAACUGGGUCUAAUUCCCGAUAGGACUGCAGGGUGGUGCCUGUGGUGGAAAACGAUUUUCUAGUGGUUGGGGAUGAGCUCGCGGCCUAUCAGCUUGUUGGUGGGGUAAUGGCCUACCAAGGCGGCGACGGGUAGCCGGCCUGGGAGGGUGGACGGUCACAUUGGGACUGAGAUACGGCCCCGACUCCUGCGGGAGGCAGCAGUUGGGAAUAUUGCACAAUGGGCGGAAGCCUGAUGCAGCGACGCCGCGUGGGGGAUGACGGCCUUCGGGUUGUAAACUCCUUUCGACCGCGAGGAAGCCACCUGGUUGGAAGGGUGGUGACGGUAGUGGUAGAAGAAGCACCGGCUAACUACGUG